Molecule: ribosomal RNA, 704 nt
Filed under: uncultured bacterium
Lineage: Bacteria
Description: bacterial SSU rRNA
Rfam family: Bacterial small subunit ribosomal RNA
Source: RNAcentral
AGAGUUUGAUCCUGGCUCAGAUUGAACGCUAGCGGGAUGCCUUACACAUGCAAGUCGAACGGCAGCACGGACUUCGGUCUGGUGGCGAGUGGCGAACGGGUGAGUAAUGUAUCGGAACGUGCCCAGUAGCGGGGGAUAACUACGCGAAAGCGUAGCUAAUACCGCAUACGCCCUACAGGGGGAAAGCAGGGGAUCGCAAGACCUUGCACUAUUGGAGCGGCCGAUAUCGGAUUAGCUAGUGGUGGGGUAACGGCUCACCAAGGCGACGAUCCGUAGCUGGUUAUGAGAGGACGACCAGCUCACACUGGGACUGAGACACGGCCCAGACUCCUACGGGAGGCAGCAGUGGGGAAUUUUGGACUAUGGGGGAAACCCUGAUCCAGCCAUCCCGCGUGUGCGAUGAAGGCCUUCGGGUUGUAAGAGCACUUCUUGGCAGGAAAGAAACGUCAUGGGUUAAUACCCCGUGAAACUGACGGUACCUGCAGACAUAAGCACCGGCUAACUACGUGCCAGCAGCCGCGGUAAUACGUAGGGUGCAAGCGUUAAUCGGAAUUACUGUGCGUAAAGCGUGCGCGCUGUUCGGAGAAGAUGUGAUAUACAGAGCUGACUCGGACUGCAUCUUAACUAGGCUAGAGUGUGUAGAUGGUGAAUCGCGUGCAGAUGCUCAUUGCGGAGACCCGAUGGCGACGGCAGCUCUGGAUCCC